GACGAACGCUGGCGGCGUGCCUAAUACAUGCAAGUCGAACGAGAGCGACCGGUGCUUGCACUGGUCAAUCUAGUGGCGAACGGGUGAGUAACACGUGGGUAACCUGCCCAUCAGAGGGGGAUAACAUCCGGAAACGGAUGCUAAAACCGCAUAGGUCUUCGAGCCGCAUGGCUUGAAGAGGAAAAGAGGCGCAAGCUUCUGCUGAUGGAUGGACCCGCGGUGCAUUAGCUAGUUGGUGAGGUAACGGCUCACCAAGGCCGUGAUGCAUAGACGACCUGAGAGGGUGAUCGGCCACAUUGGGACUGAGACACGGCCCAAACUCCUACGGGAGGCAGCAGUAGGGAAUCUUCCGCAAUGGACGCAAGUCUGACGGAGCAACGCCGCGUGAGUGAAGAAGGUUUUCGGAUCGUAAAACUCUGUUGUUAGAGAAGAACAAGUGCUAGAGUAACUGUUAGCGCCUUGACGGUAUCUAACCAGAAAGCCACGGCUAACUACGUG
This 498-nucleotide ribosomal RNA is filed under the name uncultured bacterium. Its description in RNAcentral is "partial 16S ribosomal RNA". It matches the Rfam family "Bacterial small subunit ribosomal RNA", at positions 28 to 507 of the family's 1533-position model. The record is from RNAcentral.